This 471-nucleotide ribosomal RNA is filed under the name Streptococcus mutans. RNAcentral's name for it is "bacterial SSU rRNA". It matches the Rfam family "Bacterial small subunit ribosomal RNA", at positions 28 to 473 of the family's 1533-position model. Lineage: Bacteria; Bacillati; Bacillota; Bacilli; Lactobacillales; Streptococcaceae. The record is from RNAcentral.
GACGAACGCUGGCGGCGUGCCUAAUACAUGCAAGUGGGACGCAAGGGAACACACUGUGCUUGCACACCGUGUUUUCUUGAGUCGCGAACGGGUGAGUAACGCGUAGGUAACCUGCCUAUUAGCGGGGGAUAACUAUUGGAAACGAUAGCUAAUACCGCAUAAUAUUAAUUAUUGCAUGAUAAUUGAUUGAAAGAUGCAAGCGCAUCACUAGUAGAUGGACCUGCGUUGUAUUAGCUAGUUGGCAAGGUAAGAGCUUACCAAGGCGACGAUACAUAGCCGACCUGAGAGGGUGAUCGGCCACACUGGGACUGAGACACGGCCCAGACUCCUACGGGAGGCAGCAGUAGGGAAUCUUCGGCAAUGGACGAAAGUCUGACCGAGCAACGCCGCGUGAGUGAAGAAGGUUUUCGGAUCGUAAAGCUCUGUUGUAAGUCAAGAACGUGUGUGAGAGUGGAAAGUUCACACAGUGAC